Molecule: ribosomal RNA, 301 nt
Filed under: uncultured bacterium
Lineage: Bacteria
Description: partial 16S ribosomal RNA
Rfam family: Bacterial small subunit ribosomal RNA
Source: RNAcentral
CAGUAGCCACGGGAAUACGAAGGGUGCAAGCGUUAAUCGGAAUUACUGGGCGUAAAGCGUGCGUAGGCGGUUUGUUAAGUCUGCUGUGAAAUCCCCGGGCUCAACCUGGGAAUGGCAGUGGAUACUGGCAAGCUAGAGUGUGUCAGAGGAUGGUGGAAUUCCCGGUGUAGCGGUGAAAUGCGUAGAGAUCGGGAGGAACAUCAGUGGCGAAGGCGGCCAUCUGGGACAACACUGACGCUGAGGCACGAAAGCGUGGGGAGCAAACAGGAUUAGAUACCCCGGUAGUCCCUGUCUCUUAUAA